This 382-nucleotide ribosomal RNA is filed under the name uncultured eukaryote. Its description in RNAcentral is "partial 18S ribosomal RNA". It matches the Rfam family "Eukaryotic small subunit ribosomal RNA", at positions 592 to 976 of the family's 1831-position model. The record is from RNAcentral.
CAAUAGCGUAUAUUAAAGUUGUUGCAGUUAAAAAGCUCGUAGUUGGAUUUCUGGUUGAAGCGACCGGUCGGGCGUUGAUUCGUCUGCACUGGAGUCGGUUUUGGCCAUCCUCUAGGAAAGUGCGUCUGGUAUUAAGUUAUCGGGCGUAUGAUCCUGGUCUUUUACUGUGAAAAAAUUAGAGUGUUUAAAGCAGGCCUUCGCCUUGAAUACAUUAGCAUGGAAUAAUAAGAUAGGACUUUGGUCUAUUUUGUUGGUUUGCAGACCGAAGUAAUGAUUAAUAGGGAUAGUUGGGGGUAUUUAUAUUCCGAUGUCAGAGGUGAAAUUCUUAGAUUUUCGGAAGAUAAACUUAUGCGAAAGCAUUUACCAAGGAUGUUAUCAUUAA